GACGAACGCUGGCGGCGUGCCUAAUACAUGCAAGUCGAACGAGUGGCGGACGGGUGAGUAAUGUCUGGGAAACUGCCCGAUGGAGGGGGAUAACUACUGGAAACGGUAGCUAAUACCGCAUACCAUCGGAUGUGCCCAGAUGGGAUUAGCUAGUAGGUGGGGUAACGGCUCACCUAGGCGACGAACACUAGCGGGUCUGAGAGGAGGACCAGCUACACUGGAACUGAGACACGGUCCAGAUUCCUACGGGAGGCAGCAGGGGGGAAUAUUGCACAAUGGGCGCAAGCCUGAUGCAGCCAUGCCGCGUGUAUGAAGAAGGCCUUCGGGUUGUAAAGUACUUUCAGCUAGGAGGCGUUACUCGCAGAAGAAGCACCGGCUAACUCCGUGCCAGCAGCCGCGGUAAUAC
RNAcentral lists this ribosomal RNA (406 nucleotides) under uncultured bacterium. RNAcentral's name for it is "partial 16S ribosomal RNA". It matches the Rfam family "Bacterial small subunit ribosomal RNA", at positions 28 to 526 of the family's 1533-position model. The record is from RNAcentral.